CGUCGCCGCGGGAAUACGUAGGGUGCAAGCGUUAAUCGGAAUUACUGGGCGUAAAGCGUGCGCAGGCGGUUUGUUAAGACAGAUGUGAAAUCCCCGGGCUCAACCUGGGAACUGCAUUUGUGACUGGCAAGCUAGAGUGUGGCAGAGGGGGGUGGAAUUCCGCGUGUAGCAGUGAAAUGCAUAGAUAUGCGGAGGAACACCGAUGGCGAAGGCAGCCCCCUGGGCCAACACUGACGCUCAUGCACGAAAGCGUGGGGAGCAAACAGGAUUAGAUACCCCUGUAGUCCCUGUCUCUUAUACU
RNAcentral lists this ribosomal RNA (301 nucleotides) under uncultured bacterium. Its description in RNAcentral is "partial 16S ribosomal RNA". It matches the Rfam family "Bacterial small subunit ribosomal RNA", at positions 510 to 810 of the family's 1533-position model. The record is from RNAcentral.